CCUUCUCUAUUUUUUUUUUCUUUUUGUCUCUGUUUCUCUAUUUUUCUUGGUUUAUUUUUGUUCUUUUUCUCGUUCUCUCGGUUUGAGUCUCUCUCUUUUCUUAACUCUCAUAGUCCCUCUCUGUUUCGUCUCUUUUCUUUUCUUUUGUUUCCUUUUUUGUUCCUCUCUAUUUUCUACUCUUUUCCUUUUUUUUUACCCUCCCUUUAACCCUCUCUUUCCCAUGGUAUUUAUAAGUGGAAAACGGGGGAGAGAGGACUACUACC
This 263-nucleotide long non-coding RNA is filed under the name Populus trichocarpa (black cottonwood). Its description in RNAcentral is "long non-coding RNA (PTRI_LNC004344)". The record is from RNAcentral. Lineage: Eukaryota; Viridiplantae; Streptophyta; Magnoliopsida; Malpighiales; Salicaceae.